Molecule: ribosomal RNA, 433 nt
Filed under: uncultured bacterium
Lineage: Bacteria
Description: bacterial SSU rRNA
Rfam family: Bacterial small subunit ribosomal RNA
Source: RNAcentral
GACGAACGCUGGCGGCGUGCCUUAACACAUGCAAGUCAACUUGACUGAAGGAGCAAUCUGACAGUAGAGUGGCGCAAGGGUGCGUAACGCGUAAGUAACUUGCCCCAAGGUAAGGAAUAACGUCGAGAAAUCGGCGCUAAUACCUCAUAAUGACAGCGGAUCCGCAUGGAUAUGUUGUUAAAGGUUUUACCGCCUUGGGAUAGGCUUGCGUCUGAUUAGCUAGUUGGUGUGGUAACGGCACACCAAGGCUACGAUCAGUAACUGGUCUGAGAGGAUGAUCAGUCACAACUGGAACUGAGACACGGUCCAGACUCCUACGGGAGGCAGCAGUGAGGAAUAUUGGGCAAUGCUCGAAAGAGUGACCCAGCAACGCCGCGUGGAGGAUGAAGGUAUUCUAUAUCGUAAACUCCUGUGAGAGCAGACGAAAGACAGA